GACGAACGCUGGCGGCGUGCUUAACACAUGCAAGUCGAGCGGUAAGGCCCUUUCGGGGUACGACGAGCGGCGAACGGGUGAGUAACACGUGGGUGACCUGCCCUCAGCUCUGGGAUAAGCCUGGGAAACUGGGUCUAAUACUGGAUAUGACUCCACGGUGCAUGUCGUGGGGUGGAAAGCCUUGUGCGGCUGAGGAUGGGCCCGCGGCCUAUCAGCUUG
Molecule: ribosomal RNA, 219 nt
Filed under: uncultured bacterium
Lineage: Bacteria
Description: partial 16S ribosomal RNA
Rfam family: Bacterial small subunit ribosomal RNA
Source: RNAcentral